CGUUUCUUAUUUCCCGGUUUGCAUGCGAGUAAAAAGCAAUCGACUCGGAAUGAAAGUUUCACACACGGUCCAUGUGUCUGCCUCUUAACGACCAGCCACUCCGCUCCGUAGGCACGUACGCUCGAGACCUAUUACGCUCGAGCGUCAAGCCCCUCGAAGGUCACGUAUCCGCGGAGUUUAAUGAUUUACAAGCAACGGACGACGGGAUUACGUAAAAAG
Molecule: long non-coding RNA, 219 nt
Organism: Bombus impatiens (common eastern bumble bee)
Lineage: Eukaryota; Metazoa; Arthropoda; Insecta; Hymenoptera; Apidae
Exons: 2
Source: RefSeq, a predicted model, not a curated record